RNAcentral lists this ribosomal RNA (391 nucleotides) under uncultured organism. RNAcentral describes it as "bacterial SSU rRNA". It matches the Rfam family "Bacterial small subunit ribosomal RNA", at positions 45 to 433 of the family's 1533-position model. The record is from RNAcentral.
GGCCUAAUACAUGCAAGUCGAGGGGCAGCACAGGUAGCAAUACUUGGUGGCGACCGGCGCACGGGUGCGUAACACGUUUGUAAUCUACCCAUCACAGGAGUAUAGCUCGGAGAAAUCCGGAUUAAUCCUCCAUAACAUCCCGCCAGGCAUCUGGCAGGAUUAAAAGCUACGGCGGUGAAGGAUGAACACGCGACUGAUUAGUUAGUUGGUGAGGUAACGGCUCACCAAGACCACGAUCAGUAGGGGUACUGAGAGGUUAAACCCCCACACUGGUACUGAGACACGGACCAGACUCCUACGGGAGGCAGCAGUAAGGAAUAUUGGACAAUGGGGGCAACCCUGAUCCAGCCAUGCCGCGUGCAGGAAGACAGACCUAUGGUUUGGAAACUGC